RNAcentral lists this long non-coding RNA (280 nucleotides) under Elaeis guineensis (African oil palm). RNAcentral's name for it is "long non-coding RNA (EGUI_LNC082639)". Lineage: Eukaryota; Viridiplantae; Streptophyta; Magnoliopsida; Arecales; Arecaceae. The record is from RNAcentral.
GCAGCAAGAGCUGGUGGUGGUGAAGCCCGGCCGCCCAACAAGAUCGGGUGAAAAGAAAAAGCCCCUCAUUGGCACCUCCUCGCUCCUAUGCAACCCCGCGAAAAGCGGGGGAAAGCCUUCACUCCGAGAAGAGGAGGAAAAUCAAAAAGGAAGGAUGACGAACUACGGCGGGAACGGAUGAGGGAUGAACCACACCAAAAGACCUAAAGGACUUCGUCCCAACUAAAACGGAGAGUUCCUACCGAACACCUCCGGCCGCUAAAAAGACUUUCGACACCGG